AAGGACCAAAGGUCGAGUGUCGUGCGGCACAACAGUAGAGAGAGGGAGAGGUCACGUGAGAAACCCUAGCGGUACUUUUCAUCUUCUUCGCGGGGCUGCCCCUGCCCACGCCGGCGCCGCGUCCGCACCGGCCACCGUGCCGGCACCGCCUCCGCCAGCCGCAACCGAGCCCCCGCUACUACGAUUCCGCCACCGCUGCUUCGCCGUUCUCCCCGUGAAGCUUGCCGCGACGACCCGACGCCGGCAGAUCUGAGCUGAGCUCGCCUCCGCUCGCGACCCAGUGCCGUCGCUGAACUCCCGCGACGCCCGACGCCGCCGCUUCCCUCCUGCCGUCGCUCGUCCGGCAGCCAGCCCCCAAGCGCGUCGUCAGCCACCGCCGCUACCUACCUGACCCCGUGCCGUCGCCGCAGCUCCCGCGACGCCCGACCCGCGCUGCCCUUCCUCCGACCAGCGACCCGACGCCCGCAGCAGCCCGAGCAACGCAUUCCCUGCCCUAGCCCGAAUCGAGCUGCUCCACCCUCCGCUCGGCGACCUGCUCCUCAGCCGCCGGGCUGCCAACGCCGCCGGUCUACCCUCGCUGCUAGCCCGCUCGCCGCCGGUGUGCCUGCUGUGCCCUCGCCGGAGCUCCGAACCGGCCGCCAAGCUUAAAAAAGAAAAGAAAAGAAAUCAAAUUAGG
Molecule: long non-coding RNA, 676 nt
Filed under: Eucalyptus grandis
Lineage: Eukaryota; Viridiplantae; Streptophyta; Magnoliopsida; Myrtales; Myrtaceae
Description: long non-coding RNA (EGRA_LNC007200)
Source: RNAcentral